GAAGAAUAUCACUGAGCAAGAUCAUAAGCAGUCCCUGCAGCUCACAUUCCAUUCACUGUGCACAUAUUUUAGUGAUAAAGAUCCAGGUGGCCUUCUACUUAUACCUGAGAAAAGUGACCUUGCUGGCAUGAACAUUGGUGAAGUCCUAGCUGUCAUGAAUACCCUCCUUUCUGUGGCUGCUUGAGAGUGUGAGCUGUUGAUGCUCAGUGAGGCACCAGGGGAAGUUGGCUCUGUGCUCUU
Dipodomys spectabilis (banner-tailed kangaroo rat) is the source of this 240-nucleotide long non-coding RNA. RefSeq lists it as uncharacterized. The transcript has 3 exons. NCBI's taxonomy places the organism in Eukaryota, Metazoa, Chordata, Mammalia, Rodentia, Heteromyidae. The record is from RefSeq and is a predicted model, not a curated record.